Molecule: long non-coding RNA, 1516 nt
Organism: Coturnix japonica (Japanese quail)
Lineage: Eukaryota; Metazoa; Chordata; Aves; Galliformes; Phasianidae
Source: Ensembl
AAGCCAUCUAAUCUUAUCCUUCUGAAGGCUUGUGACUCGGAAGAGUCUGUGUGCAAACCUUGGUGAGAAACAGAAGUUGACUUCCCACCCCACAGCCAGCAAGAUCCAGCCAGGCUAUAUAAGCAACAGACACUGGAUGGUAAAGGAAAUGAAUCCUUCAUAUGUUGUCUGAGCCCAGCAGGGAAACAGAAAUGCUUUCCAAAAAGAGAAAAGAAAGAAAAAUCGUUUUGUGUUUGCAGUCUGCUUGUGUGUUGCUUGGAGAAAAUCAGCACAUCUGAAAAGGCAGCAUCUGGUAAGGAAAGCAUGGAUGCAGCAGGUGAGGCCAAUGUUAACCAAGGUGACAGAAUCUGCUGCUCAACAAGAGAAGUGUUUGGGGCAGAGAACCAGCCAAGUCACUGCUGUUUUCUGUUUUCCUUUUUUAGUCCAGUGGCACCUUGGAAUGGGAUUAUUAUAGGAAGCUUUCAUUACUUUACUGUUGCUGUCUUUUCAACAGCUGCAAGUGUUUCCUGCUGCUGACUGGGCUUCACUGGUUGAGAACUGGUUGCCCAGCAAGAUAAAUAGUAUCAAUGGGAGACAAGAACUGGUUUACAGCUCAUUUCUUAAUUACCUGUGAGGAUUAGCAAAAGAUUUUAUGUUUCAUUAUCUAUUUUGAACUCAGCUGUAGAACACUGCAGCCAAAGAUGACAGAGUAGAACAUUGCACUUGACUUAACUAACUCAGCUGCAGGAAACUUAGGUUCAGCUUGAGCAAGCAGUAGAUUAUAAGUUACACUGAUAUUGGUCUAUGUUCAUUAGUCUAAGUUGAAAGCCAGGGUUUAUUGGCACAACUAUUUUUCUUGCGUCUAAGCAAGUAAUUCCGUACAUCAUUCAGUAAUGCACAGCAGAUCACUGAAAAAACUGAUUACCCAGGUGGUGCUGGAAAGAUGUUUUCUGUUUAAUAUCUUUGAAAUUCUAAGCAAGAAAUCCAUGCUGAGCAAUUUACAGUAAAGGCAGGGGGGAAAAAUAUGUUUUCUUUUAGCUAUCCUUCUUUUUUUCUGAAAUCAUAGAAUCAUAGAAUGAUUUGGGUUGGAAGGGACCUUUAAGAAACCUAGUUCCAACAACCUGCUAUAGACAGGGACACCUCCAUCUAGACCAGGGUGCUCACAGCUACAUCCAGCCUGACCUUGAGUGCUUCCAGGGAGGGGGCAUCCACAGCCUCACUGAGCAACUUGUUCCAGUGCGUCACCACCCUCACAGUAAAGAAUUUCUUCCUAAUAUCUAGUCUAAAUCUACACUCAUCCAAUGUAAGAUGAUUUCCUGUUGUCCUGCUUACCUGUCACAGCUUGACUUUUAUCAAAACUCCUGGCGCUUCAGAAGCCUUCAAUAGAUUUGCCACCAAGGAAACAAACAUACGUGCAUUACAUAACUUGGCAUCACAAUGCAGAAAGCCCAGCUGUCAUGUUUCCUAUGUUCUGUUCAUAUCUCAUGAAUUGUUUCCUAAACUGACCUUAAUAAUGUAUUUUAGCUUAAUCAGCACA